GUAACGGCGAGCGAACGGGGAAGAGCCCAGCACCGAAUCCUGCAGCCUUGCGCUGUUGGGAAAUGUGGUGUUUAGGACUUCUUAUUGGAUGCGCAGCUUACUUAAAGUUCACUUGAUUGUGACUUUUGGCCCGGAGAGGGUGUAAGGCCCGUCUGGGUAGGCUACUAUUCUUCUGAGAGGUCCUUAGAGUCGGGUUGUUUGAGAUUGCAGCCCAAAGUUGGUGGUAAACUCCAUCUAAGGCUAAAUACUGAACACUAGUCCGAUAGUCAACAAGUACCGUGAGGGAAAGUUGAAAAGAACUUUGAAGAGAGAGUUCAAUAGUGCGUGAAGCCGUCUAGAGGUAAACGGAUGGGGCCGAAGUUGGCUUCGGGGAUUCAGCCGAUGGGGCUAGUGGUGUUGAGUUUGUCCGACUCUGUUACAGGGAGGACUGCUUGACUUAUUACUGCUGUCUCGUCGGUGCACUUUCCCUUAGUCUACACUACGACCGGCGGACUGAUGGUCUGUCGUUGGGGGUUGGUAGCGUCGGCUUCGGCUGGCGUGAAGCUUCUGACACGGAACUGUCGGGCUGCUGGGACUGCGAUGCAAGCCUUGAGGCGCACAGGACAGGACUGUAUUGAGGCUGCUUUUGGGUGGACUUCGUUAAGACUGCUCCAGGUGACUUUGGUGUGGUCAGCCCUCUAUGAUUUGUGUCAAUAGUCUGUGGUGUUAAAGUAGGCAACCUAUGUGACCCGUCUUGAAACACGGACCAAGGAGUCUAGCAAAUACGCGAGUCAUUGGGCGUUACGAAACCCAAAGGCGAAGUGAAAGCAAAGAUCUGUUUACACAGAUUUAGGUGUGAUCCUGGUUGUCUUUAAUGGCUCUAGGCGCAACACCGGCCCGUCUUCUAGUGUUUUUCACUGGGGCGGAGCAAGAGCGUAUUUGCUGAAACCCGAAAGAUGGUGAACUAUGCUUGCGCAGGUUGAAGCCAGAGGAAACUCUGGUGGAGGACCGUAGCGAUUCUGACGUGCAAAUCGAUCGUCAGACGUGAGUAUAGGGGCGAAAGACUAAUCGAACCAUCUAGUAGCUGGUUCCCUCCGAAGUUUCCCUCAGGAUAGCUGGCAUGCUCGGAGAAAACAGUUUUAUCCGGUAAAGCGAAUGAUUAGAGGUAUUGGGGUCGAAAUGACCUCAACCUAUUCUCAAACUUUAAAUGGGUGAGAAGCUGGACUCUCUUGAUUGGAGUCUGGCAUUGAAUGUGUGUGCCUAGUGGGCCAUUUUUGGUAAGCAGAACUGGCGCUGUGGGAUGAACCAAACGUCUAGUUAAGGUGCCUAACACGACGCUUAUAAGAUACCACAAAAGGUGUUGAUAGAUCCAGACAGCAGGACGGUGGCCAUGGAAGUUGGAAUCCGCUAAGGAGUGUGUAACAACUCACCUGCCGAAUCUAUCAGCCCUGAAAAUGGAUGGCGCUGAGCGUUGGACCUAUACUAGACCGUCACCGCAAGUUGUUUCGAGUAAGCGGUGUCGAGUAGGAGGGUCGCCGUGGUGAGCGUUGAAGCUUAGUCUGUGAAGGCUGGUGGAGCCGCCACGGGUGCAGAUCUU
RNAcentral lists this ribosomal RNA (1576 nucleotides) under Minona sp. n. Canary Island. Its description in RNAcentral is "eukaryotic LSU rRNA". It matches the Rfam family "Eukaryotic large subunit ribosomal RNA", at positions 83 to 1452 of the family's 3401-position model. Lineage: Eukaryota; Metazoa; Platyhelminthes; Proseriata; Monocelididae. The record is from RNAcentral.